AGAGUUUGAUCCUGGCUCAGGAUAAACGCUGGCGGCGUGCCUAAUACAUGCAAGUCGAACGAAGCGAACUAGCUUGCUAGCUAGCUUAGUGGCGAACGGGUGAGUAAUACAUAAGCAACCUACCUACAAGGACUGGGAUAACACUUGGAAACGAGCGCUAAAACCGGAUAGGUAACAUUGAGGCAUCUCAAAGUUAUUAAAGGUGAGAAACACAAGUAGAUGGGCUUAUGGUGCAUUAGUUAGUUGGUGAGGUAACGGCCCACCAAGACGAUGAUGCAUAGCCGGCCUGAGAGGGUGAACGGCCACAUUGGGACUGAGACACGGCCCAGACUCCUACGGGAGGCAGCAGUAGGGAAUUUUCGGCAAUGGGGGCAACCCUGACCGAGCAACGCCGCGUGAGUGAUGAAGGUCUUCGGAUUGUAAAGCUCUGUUGUAAGGGAAGAACGGCUUAGAUAGGAUCUAAGAGUGACGGUACCUUACCAGAAAGCUACGGCUAACUACGUGCCAGCAGCCGCGGUAAUACGUAGGUAGCGAGCGUUAUCCGGAAUUAUUGGGCGUAAAGGGUGCGUAGGCGGCCUUUUAAGUUUAUGGUGAAAGCGUGGGGCUCAACCCCAUAAAGCCAUAGAUACUGGGAGGCUAGAGUACUGGAGAGGGUAGUGGAAUUCCAUGUGUAGCGGUAAAAUGCGUAGAUAUAUGGAGGAACACCGGU
This 709-nucleotide ribosomal RNA is filed under the name uncultured bacterium. Its description in RNAcentral is "bacterial SSU rRNA". It matches the Rfam family "Bacterial small subunit ribosomal RNA", at positions 8 to 713 of the family's 1533-position model. The record is from RNAcentral.